Molecule: ribosomal RNA, 464 nt
Filed under: uncultured bacterium
Lineage: Bacteria
Description: bacterial SSU rRNA
Rfam family: Bacterial small subunit ribosomal RNA
Source: RNAcentral
GACAACGCUGGCGGCGUGCCUAACACAUGCAAGUCGAACGGGGAUAUGAUUUCGGUUGUAUCCCAGUGGCGAACGGGUGAGUAACGCGUGAGCAACCUGUCCUUUUGAGGGGGAUAACACUUGGAAACAGGUGCUAAUACCGCAUAAGACCACGGGUCCGCAUGGACCAGAGGUCAAAGGAGCAAUCCGCAGAAGGAGGGGCUCGCGUCCCAUUAGGUAGAUGGCGGGGUAACGGCCCACCAUGCCAACGAUGGGUAGCCGAGCUGAGAGGCUGAUCGGCCACACUGGAACUGAGACACGGUCCAGACUCCUACGGGAGGCAGCAGUGGGGAAUAUUGGGCAAUGGGCGAAAGCCUGACCCAGCAACGCCGCGUGAGGGAAGAAGGCCUUCGGGUUGUAAACCUCUGUCCUUGGUGACGAAAAAAAUGACGGUAGCCAAGGAGGAAGCCCCGGCUAACUACGUG